This 253-nucleotide ribosomal RNA is filed under the name uncultured bacterium. RNAcentral describes it as "partial 16S ribosomal RNA". It matches the Rfam family "Bacterial small subunit ribosomal RNA", at positions 524 to 776 of the family's 1533-position model. The record is from RNAcentral.
GACAGAGGGUGCAAACGUUGUUCGGAAUUACUGGGCGUAAAGCGCGUGUAGGCUGCUUCGCAAGUCGGAUGUGAAAGCCCUGGGUUCAACCCAGGAAGUGCAUUCGAAACUGCAGAGCUGGAGUCCUGGAGAGGAAGGCGGAAUUCUCGGUGUAGAGGUGAAAUUCGUAGAUAUCGAGAGGAACACCGGUGGCGAAGGCGGCCUUCUGGACAGUGACUGACGCUGAGACGCGAAAGCGUGGGGAGCAAACAGG